GGCUCCAUAGUGUAAUGGUUAGCACAUCUGCUUUACAUGCAGAAGGUCAUGAGUUUGCACCCCAGGUAGAGCCA
RNAcentral lists this transfer RNA (74 nucleotides) under Pteropus alecto (black flying fox). It matches the Rfam family "tRNA". From Rfam's summary of the family: Transfer RNA (tRNA) molecules are approximately 80 nucleotides in length. Their secondary structure includes four short double-helical elements and three loops (D, anti-codon, and T loops). Lineage: Eukaryota; Metazoa; Chordata; Mammalia; Chiroptera; Pteropodidae. The record is from Rfam by way of RNAcentral.